CUUGGCACUGGUGGAGUUCUCUGUGUGUGUUGUAAUGGAAGGAUCACAGAAUUCCCCAGUACCAAGGG
RNAcentral lists this microRNA precursor (68 nucleotides) under Branchiostoma floridae (Florida lancelet). Its description in RNAcentral is "Bfl-Mir-96-P2j_pre stem-loop". Lineage: Eukaryota; Metazoa; Chordata; Leptocardii; Amphioxiformes; Branchiostomatidae. The record is from RNAcentral.